CUGAAACUAAGAAGUUCUGACU
Molecule: unclassified non-coding RNA, 22 nt
Filed under: Dictyostelium discoideum
Lineage: Eukaryota; Evosea; Eumycetozoa; Dictyosteliales; Dictyosteliaceae
Source: RNAcentral